This 324-nucleotide unclassified non-coding RNA is filed under the name rhizosphere metagenome. RNAcentral's name for it is "partial ribosomal RNA internal transcribed spacer region". The record is from RNAcentral.
GUAGGUGAACCUGCGGAAGGAUCAUUAACACGAUACAAUCGUAUCAACCAACCGUGCUCUUGUUGUUAACCUCUGGUUAUAACUAUGGGAUUCAGUAAAGCUUAAUGUGUUGAGGGUAAAACAUUAAGUGAUUGGUCAGGUAUUUAUAUCUGAUCUGAAUCCUUAAUAGUUAUUUCCUUAGGUCUCUUUUUCCUUUUUUUUACCCUCAUUAUUAACCAAAUUAACCCCCUUAAUUACAACUUUGUACUGACAACAUUUCUAACUCGAAAGGGUAGGAAAUUAAAAAACGCUGUACAACUCUUAGCAAUGGAUAUCUUGGUUCUC